GCUCCGGUGGCUCAAUCGGAUAGAGCGUUGGACUUCUAAUCCAAAGGUUGCGGGUUCAAGUCCCGCCCGGAGUA
Molecule: non-coding RNA, 74 nt
Organism: Perkinsus marinus ATCC 50983
Lineage: Eukaryota; Perkinsozoa; Perkinsida; Perkinsidae
Source: Rfam